RNAcentral lists this ribosomal RNA (301 nucleotides) under uncultured bacterium. RNAcentral describes it as "partial 16S ribosomal RNA". It matches the Rfam family "Bacterial small subunit ribosomal RNA", at positions 509 to 807 of the family's 1533-position model. The record is from RNAcentral.
CAGUAGCCGCGGGAAUAGGAAGGGGGCUAGCGUUGUUCGGAUUUACUGGGCGUAAAGGGUGCGUAGGCGGAUUGUUAAGUCAGGGGUGAAAUCCCGAGGCUCAACCUCGGAACUGCCUUUGAUACUGGCGAUCUUGAGUCCGGGAGAGGUGAGUGGAACUGCGAGUGUAGAGGUGAAAUUCGUAGAUAUUCGCAAGAACUCCAGUGGCGAAGGCGGCUUACUGGCUCGAAACUGACGCUGAGGCGCGAAAGCGUGGGGAGCAAACAGGAUUAGAUACCCCGGUAGUCCCUGUCUCUUAUAC